Molecule: non-coding RNA, 543 nt
Organism: Cyanistes caeruleus (blue tit)
Lineage: Eukaryota; Metazoa; Chordata; Aves; Passeriformes; Paridae
Source: RefSeq, a predicted model, not a curated record
UGGCCCUCUCUGGGGCAAGCAGAACUUUAUCUUGAUGUGAAUUAAGCCUCAGAUGCUGAAGAUGAUAUCAAUAAGUUAAAAAAGGACAAGCUUGGCAUUCAGAAGUAUUGUGUAGAAGAGACAGAGGCACACUUGCUUCAGAGCCGGGGAUUAGGAAAUCUGCUUCUCCUGGGCUGCAUCCUCCAGCCACUGUUACUAGACCUGCAGCAGUUUGCAUGGAGCACCUGCAGAGAUGACCCAGUGACUCUGAGACAAGGAACCUGGCUCUGCAAUAUCUAUCACUACAGACCUUCCACUGAGGGGUUCUCUCUUUAGAAGCAAGGAAGAGUCAUCUCUACGUAAAGGGAAUAUCUCCAAAGGUGAAAGAUGCCUCAGGAAAGUACAUGUCAUUCUUGAAAGAGGUUACUAUCCAUUAGCCCUUCAGACUGCAGGAGGACUGAGACCAGGGCUAAGUGACUAGGAAAAAUCAGAACACAAUGAAAUCUUGAAAAGAGUUGUUCUGCUGAUGGAGGCUAAGACCAGCACAGAUACACCCUACCUCCA